GACGAACGCUGGCGGCGUGCUUAACACAUGCAAGUCGAACGGAAAGGCCCUGCUUUUGUGGGGUGCUCGAGUUGCGAACGGGUGAGUAACACGUGAGUAACCUGCCCUUGACUUUGGGAUAACUUCAGGAAACUGGGGCUAAUACCGGAUAGGAGCUCCUGCUGCAUGGUGGGGGUUGGAAAGUUUCGGCGGUUGGGGAUGGACUCGCGGCUUAUCAGCUUGUUGGUGGGGUAGUGGCUUACCAAGGCUUUGACGGGUAGCCGGCCUGAGAGGGUGACCGGCCACAUCGGGACUGAGAUACGGCCCAGACUACUACGGGAGGCAGCAGUGGGGAAUAUUGCACAAUGGGCGGAAGCCUGAUGCAGCAACGCCGCGUGCGGGAUGACGGCCUUCGGGUUGUAAACCGCUUUCGCCUGUGACGAAGCGUGAGUGACGGUAAUGGGUAAAGAAGCACCGGCUAACUACGUG
RNAcentral lists this ribosomal RNA (468 nucleotides) under uncultured bacterium. RNAcentral describes it as "partial 16S ribosomal RNA". It matches the Rfam family "Bacterial small subunit ribosomal RNA", at positions 28 to 507 of the family's 1533-position model. The record is from RNAcentral.